UUUUUCUCAUCCAGACCAAUAAGAAAGUCAAAUAUUAGAGGAACGUACACAUAAAAGCAUGACCUCUUUCAAUUGUUUCAUUCUCGCUCUCUUGAUUGCUUUGUCAUUUUCAAGCAUGGACGUUAGCGUAGCGGCUCGCAACCUUCUGCAAUUGCCACCAUUGCCUUCGAUGCCAAAUUCACCAUCAAUCCCUCCUAAUAUUCCAACUCUCCCACAACCCAC
RNAcentral lists this long non-coding RNA (222 nucleotides) under Jatropha curcas. RNAcentral's name for it is "long non-coding RNA (JCUR_LNC003498)". The record is from RNAcentral. Lineage: Eukaryota; Viridiplantae; Streptophyta; Magnoliopsida; Malpighiales; Euphorbiaceae.